AUGACUUGUGGCUGGGGGUGAAAGGCCAAUCAAACCGGGAGAUAGCUGGUUCUCCCCGAAAGCUAUUUAGGUAGCGCCUCGUGAAUUCAUCUCCGGGGGUAGAGCACUGUUUCGGCAAGGGGGUCAUCCCGACUUACCAACCCGAUGCAAACUGCGAAUACCGGAGAAUGUUAUCACGGGAGACACACGGCGGGUGCUAACGUCCGUCGUGAAGAGGGAAACAACCCAGACCGCCAGCUAAGGUCCCAAAGUCAUGGUUAAGUGGGAAACGAUGUGGGAAGGCCCAGACAGCCAGGAUGUUGGCUUAGAAGCAGCCAUCAUUUAAAGAAAGCGUAAUAGCUCACUGGUCGAGUCGGCCUGCGCGGAAGAUGUAACGGGGCUAAACCAUGCACCGAAGCUGCGGCAGCGACGCUUAUGCGUUGUUGGGUAGGGGAGCGUUCUGUAAGCCUGCGAAGGUGUGCUGUGAGGCAUGCUGGAGGUAUCAGAAGUGCGAAUGCUGACAUAAGUAACGAUAAAGCGGGUGAAAAGCCCGCUCGCCGGAAGACCAAGGGUUCCUGUCCAACGUUAAUCGGGGCAGGGUGAGUCGACCCCUAAGGCGAGGCCGAAAGGCGUAGUCGAUGGGAAACAGGUUAAUAUUCCUGUACUUGGUGUUACUGCGAAGGGGGGACGGAGAAGGCUAUGUUGGCCGGGCGACGGUUGUCCCGGUUUAAGCGUGUAGGCUGGUUUUCCAGGCAAAUCCGGAAAAUCAAGGCUGAGGCGUGAUGACGAGGCACUACGGUGCUGAAGCAACAAAUGCCAUGCUUCCAGGAAAAGCCUCUAAGCAUCAGGUAACAUCAAAUCGUACCCCAAACCGACACAGGUGGUCAGGUAGAGAAUACCAAGGCGCUUGAGAGAACUCGGGUGAAGGAACUAGGCAAAAUGGUGCCGUAACUUCGGGAGAAGGCACGCUGAUAUGUAGGUGAAGCGACUUGCUCGUGGAGCUGAAAUCAGUCGAAGAUACCAGCUGGCUGCAACUGUUUAUUAAAAACACAGCACUGUGCAAACACGAAAGUGGACGUAUACGGUGUGACGCCUGCCCGGUGCCGGAAGGUUAAUUGAUGGGGUCAGCGCAAGCGAAGCUCUUGAUCGAAGCCCCGGUAAACGGCGGCCGUAACUAUAACGGUCCUAAGGUAGCGAAAUUCCUUGUCGGGUAAGUUCCGACCUGCACGAAUGGCGUAAUGAUGGCCAGGCUGUCUCCACCCGAGACUCAGUGAAAUUGAACUCGCUGUGAAGAUGCAGUGUACCCGCGGCAAGACGGAAAGACCCCGUGAACCUUUACUAUAGCUUGACACUGAACAUUGAGCCUUGAUGUGUAGGAUAGGUGGGAGGCUUUGAAGUGUGGACGCCAGUCUGCAUGGAGCCGACCUUGAAAUACCACCCUUUAAUGUUUGAUGUUCUAACGUUGACCCGUAAUCCGGGUUGCGGACAGUGUCUGGUGGGUAGUUUGACUGGGGCGGUCUCCUCCUAAAGAGUAACGGAGGAGCACGAAGGUUGGCUAAUCCUGGUCGGACAUCAGGAGGUUAGUGCAAUGGCAUAAGCCAGCUUGACUGCGAGCGUGACGGCGCGAGCAGGUGCGAAAGCAGGUCAUAGUGAUCCGGUGGUUCUGAAUGGAAGGGCCAUCGCUCAACGGAUAAAAGGUACUCCGGGGAUAACAGGCUGAUACCGCCCAAGAGUUCAUAUCGACGGCGGUGUUUGGCACCUCGAUGUCGGCUCAUCACAUCCUGGGGCUGAAGUAGGUCCCAAGGGUAUGGCUGUUCGCCAUUUAAAGUGGUACGCGAGCUGGGUUUAGAACGUCGUGAGACAGUUCGGUCCCUAUCUGCCGUGGGCGCUGGAGAACUGAGGGGGGCUGCUCCUAGUACGAGAGGACCGGAGUGGACGCAUCACUGGUGUUCGGGUUGUCAUGCCAAUGGCACUGCCCGGUAGCUAAAUGCGGAAGAGAUAAGUGCUGAAAGCAUCUAAGCACGAAACUUGCCCCGAGAUGAGUUCUCCCUGACUCCUUGAGAGUCCUGAAGGAACGUUGAAGACGACGACGUUGAU
Molecule: ribosomal RNA, 2076 nt
Filed under: Escherichia coli
Lineage: Bacteria; Pseudomonadati; Pseudomonadota; Gammaproteobacteria; Enterobacterales; Enterobacteriaceae
Description: partial 23S ribosomal RNA
Rfam family: Bacterial large subunit ribosomal RNA
Source: RNAcentral